ACUAUCGUGAGUAGUGGGGAGAGGAAGGGAUAGUGAAAUCGUGGCUCUACAAACAGAAACGUGAUAUCAAGGCGUAUAUAGCGGAUGAGUCUAAAGUCCAAAAAAGUAGUAGUAACCUAUAGGCGUAAAUAUGAGGGUAAACGAGGAAAGAUAUACAC
Non-coding RNA from Streptococcus dysgalactiae subsp. equisimilis RE378, 158 nucleotides. The record is from Rfam. NCBI's taxonomy places the organism in Bacteria, Bacillati, Bacillota, Bacilli, Lactobacillales, Streptococcaceae.